GAAAGGUGGGCCUUAAAAAAACUAAAUUGUUAUUGGCAGUGAAAUAUGAAGGUACAUCCAAGAAUAUGUUUAUUGUGAAAAUGUGUAGUAAUACCAACUCAUUAAAGUGAUGAGAUGCAGAGAUGAACUCACUUGGAGUCGAUAGGCCCUUGGGUAACACACCCAAACAUGUUCUUUGCUAUUACAAGCUUCCCGAAUCUUAUAUGCAAAAAUGGUAUCAAAUGAAAGUUGUGUUAGCCUUGAUAAAUGAUAUGGCCGAUAGAGUCGUUUAGAAUUCUUUCGUAUUUUAUUUUAUUUUUCAAUUAUCGGUGCGCCCCUAAGAAUACUCUCUCAUACUACAUUGAAAUGGACAUGGACGGAAUCACUAUCCUGUACACUGAGCCUUCUUUUGGAGAGUAAGUCUUGAAAGAGAUCGUGCCCCUUCCCUCCAUACUAGAGAGACAUGAUUGUACUUCGUCAUGGAAGGCUGCAUCUUCACCAAAAGCUUAGUUGAAAUGGGGUUAAUCCAGUUAACAUGCACCUAUUGUUUGAGUAUAUAUUCCCAAAUGAUGUGAUGAAGGUUUGGUGAGUGUUUGUAAUUACUUUUAGAGAGAAUUGCAACAGAGAUAAGGUGGUUACAUCUCUACAUAACAUUUUAUAGAGAUCUCCACAAGCCUGCUCUCGUAAUUGAAGGACGCUUUGUAUUAGUGGUGUAACAAGAGGAGUUGCUAAAUUGUGUUCUCACAUAAGAGGGGAUGCAACUAAAGAGAAUAAUUGCUCAUCAAUCAACAAAUAGUAUGUCACUGUCAUCAUUGUAUUAGAGGAUUGACAUCCUAAUGGAAGAAGGGAGGAGGGCUGAAUAUGAUUGUGUAUGAGAAAAGUUGUUAUGGAACGAUUUGUGAACUUCUUCAUAUGUUUAGGUUUUGCUUUCCGUAUAAAAGUGUUUCUUAUUGUGAAGUGCCAUAAUUGCCCUUGACAGAACUAACAAAUCUGUUUGUAUUGGU
Solanum stenotomum is the source of this 983-nucleotide long non-coding RNA. RefSeq lists it as uncharacterized. NCBI's taxonomy places the organism in Eukaryota, Viridiplantae, Streptophyta, Magnoliopsida, Solanales, Solanaceae. The transcript has 3 exons. The record is from RefSeq and is a predicted model, not a curated record.